Long non-coding RNA from Ipomoea triloba (trilobed morning glory), 1184 nucleotides. RefSeq lists it as uncharacterized. The record is from RefSeq and is a predicted model, not a curated record. Lineage: Eukaryota; Viridiplantae; Streptophyta; Magnoliopsida; Solanales; Convolvulaceae. The transcript is spliced from 2 exons.
UUGCCGGUUGAGAGUUUGGUGAUUCCUUCCACGGCGGCAACGGCGGAAAAGGCCCAACAAGAUCCUAUAUAUAUAGCAUGUAUGUAAGUUUGCAAUUAGAUCGAUGCAUGCAUGUAUAGGUAUCCAGCACCAUCUGACUAGGGAAAUUGUUAGACGGAGGUAAGUAAAGGGUAAGUUCAGCAUUCUAGUUUUUGAAAGCAUGUGAUAGUAUAAGGGUUAAAUUUAGCACCAUGUGACAGUCCCAGCAAGAGCGUUGAGACUGACUGGUGGAACGAAGGCCUGUCCGUAAGUGUCAAGUCUAACACCCUAGAUUUUGAAAACGUGUAGUGGUAUAAGGGCUAAGUUUAGUACCAUGUGGCAAUCCGAGCAAGACCAUUGAGACGGAUUUAUGCGGAGGUCGGUAAAGGAUCAAGUCUAGCACCUUAGUUUUUGAAAACUUGUGGUGAUAUAAGGGCCAGGCUAAGUUUAGCACCAUGUAGCAUUGAGACUGGCUGGUGCUGAGAAACUAAGGGAUCCCAGCAAGAGUGUUGAGAUUGGCUGGUGCUGAGAAAUUGAGGGAUCCCAACAAGAGUGUUGAGACUAGCAGGUGCUGAGAGAUUGAGGGAUUGUUGAGCAGAGGGUGGUAAAGGCCAAUUUAGCAUCAUGUGAUUAGCUCCCUUCUUCCUCCAAUCCACCGCAGCCGGUACUACACUCACAUUUUCAUACCUAAACAGCUUAUCGGAAGAAGAAUAUUGGUGAGGCAGCGAUAAUUUGUACCCAUUCCGAGAUGCUCGAAAUUCCUGGUUCGUCAAAUCCGCAAAUUGAUUGAUGCCUAGCUUAUAAGGCUUGUUUCCUGCCUUAUUGAAGGACUCAAUGUACUCAACAUUUCCUUUGAAAAUAUUGUAUCGCUUUGCUUUCUCAACCUCAUCUUUGUAAACACGCCCAUAUUGAGCCAUCCACUGCUCGUGCCUCUCCACCAUCAAUGAAUCGGAUAGUGUUCGAGACGCGGCUAAAUAAGCCGACGUCGCAAACACCAAUGCGAGAGCAACGAGGAGCUUCAAACUGCUAUUGGAAGCCAUAGCUGAACUCAAAUUAAACCUUAGCUUAGCUUAAAAUUAAAGAAUGUUUGUAAUGUAUACAACUUAACUAAAUAUGAUAUGAUCUGAUCUGUGAAUGAAUAAUGCAUUGGAUUGGUUCGUUAUUUA